RNAcentral lists this ribosomal RNA (415 nucleotides) under uncultured bacterium. RNAcentral's name for it is "bacterial SSU rRNA". It matches the Rfam family "Bacterial small subunit ribosomal RNA", at positions 401 to 809 of the family's 1533-position model. The record is from RNAcentral.
UGUGCGAAGAAGGCCUUCGGGUUGUAAAGCACUUUUGUCAGGGAAGAAAUCCUUUGGGCUAAUACCCUAGGGGGAUGACGGUACCUGAAGAAUAAGCACCGGCUAACUACGUGCCAGCAGCCGCGGUAAUACGUAGGGUGCAAGCGUUAAUCGGAAUUACUGGGCGUAAAGCGUGCGCAGGCGGUUGUGUAAGACAGGUGUGAAAUCCCCGGGCUUAACCUGGGAAUUGCAUUUGUGACUGCACGACUAGAGUGUGUCAGAGGGGGGUGGAAUUCCACGUGUAGCAGUGAAAUGCGUAGAUAUGUGGAGGAACACCAAUGGCGAAGGCAGCCCCCUGGGAUAACACUGACGCUCAUGCACGAAAGCGUGGGGAGCAAACAGGAUUAGAUACCCUGGUAGUCCACGCCCUAAACGA